GACGAACGCUGGCGGCGUGCUUAACACAUGCAAGUCGAACGGUAAGGCCCUUCGGGGUACACGAGUGGCGAACGGGUGAGUAACACGUGGGUGAUCUGCCCUGCACUUCGGGAUAAGCCUGGGAAACUGGGUCUAAUACCGGAUAGGACCACUGCCUGCAUGGGUGGUGGUGGAAAGCUUUUGCGGUGUGGGAUGGGCCCGCGGCCUAUCAGCUUGUUGGUGGGGUGAUGGCCUACCAAGGCGACGACGGGUAGCCGGCCUGAGAGGGCGACCGGCCACACGGGGACUGAGAUACGGCCCAGACUCCUACGGGAGGCAGCAGUGGGGAAUAUUGCACAAUGGGCGCAAGCCUGAUGCAGCGACGCCGCGUGAGGGAUGACGGCCUUCGGGUUGUAAACCUCUUUCAGCACCGACGAAGCGCAAGUGACGGUAGGUGCAGAAGAAGGACCGGCCAACUACGUGCCAGCCGCCGCAGUAA
Molecule: ribosomal RNA, 478 nt
Filed under: uncultured bacterium
Lineage: Bacteria
Description: partial 16S ribosomal RNA
Rfam family: Bacterial small subunit ribosomal RNA
Source: RNAcentral